UUUACUCUUCAUGACAGCUUACCACAUCUGUAAAGCAGUCAAUAAUACCAAUAAAAAUUAGCUUCACUGAAUAUUCACAGUCCCCUGACAUCAGUAGAGAAGGCAUAAGGGACAGAGUAAAACGAAAAAAAUCUGGGGCACUUUAAAGGAGAAAAUGACUUCAGAACAUCCUUCUGUUAAGCUGCACUGCAUCUUUACAUUUACCUCUAAGGGGUAGUAUAAACCUGCAGAAUGGAUUCCAAAAUAUAUUUUUCAGAAGAAAAGUAAUUAGAGUCGUUCUAACACUCUCAAUGAUAGCAUUACCUGAUUAAUUCUUGUUUCAGCAAUGCAGAGGGGAAGUAAACGAGAACAAAGUGUCACCUGUUGAUGGAUAUGACAGUUUACAGACUACAGCUUACCGCUGUGACCCAUUAAGUAGUCUUUGCCAAAGAAAUUCUACGAUUCAUACGUAGUAGCAUGCCAAUAGUUUCUUUUAUUCCUCUGCAUUGUAAAUGUUACCUGGGGCAUUUUACAACAACGGCUACUGAUCCAUACAAAUCAAGUAUCAACAAUCAAUUUAUCCCUGACAUCUCUUGCUAAGUAUGGCAUAUACUGAAAAAUAUGAACACUGACUUCUCUGGUGUUUAAGCUAACAUUCCUACUAAGAGUCAUGAACUAUAAUAAACCAUCAGGGCUACUAAGAACAUUACCACACUAUGAACAGUUGACGUUAAUAGCUACAUUUCAUUCUGUUGUGAAAACCAUCAAGAUGGCAGCGAAUGCUAGGAAUUAAUCUCACAUAUAAUCAGAGAUAGUGUAUAGCAGUGUACGCAGUAAGCUGAUGAGGGAUGUGAUGACAGAGAUGCACACUCCUCUCUACUCAUUCCCAGCUAGACCUUAAACAAAUGUUACACAAAUGUAUGCCAUAUUUUACAUUGGUUGAAGAACUGUCCCUGCCAUCAACAAUGGAACACCGCUCUACAAUUGAGGGCAAGGGACCAGGAGACUGCUGCUCCACGAUGUUCUUACCAAUGGCUGAAGUAUUGAUUAUUGACUAACAGGCCCCUGAAGGACUCACUGUAUGAUAAAAAACUUUGAAAUAUGUUCGGUUUUAUUACCAAGAUAAGAAGCACAAAUUCCAUCCUUUGACUCUGGCUUCAUUUUUUUUUCAGCUCUGAGAUCCAGCAACGGUUCUCACCCCUCAUUUUUAAGCUACUCAUGAAAGAUAUCGUUUCGGCAGAAUCUAUAAGCUCUUUGCAACAAUCAGUGAUUUAUUGAUUUUCAAAUCAGUGCACUUUUAAAAUAUGGAAAUGCAAUCUUAUGGUAAUCAAACUUAACAAUAAAUAAAAUGAUUACAAAGAAGCUGUGAUUUUG
Molecule: long non-coding RNA, 1353 nt
Filed under: Anser cygnoides (Swan goose)
Lineage: Eukaryota; Metazoa; Chordata; Aves; Anseriformes; Anatidae
Description: lncRNA (ENSACDG00005006265.1)
Source: RNAcentral